UUGGAGGGCAAGUCUGGUGCCAGCAGCCGCGGUAAUUCCAGCUCCAAUAGCGUAUAUUAAAGUUGUUGCAGUUAAAAAGCUCGUAGUUGAAUUUCGGGGUUAGUAGGUUGGUCAUGCCACUGGUAUGUACUGGUCUCACUGAUUCCUCCUUCCUGAUGAGCCGUAAUGCCAUUAAUUUGGUGUUGCGAGGAAUCUGGACUGUUACUUUGAAAAAAUUAGAGUGUUUAAAGCAAGCUAACGCUUGAAUACAUUAGCAUGGAAUAAUGAAAUAGGACGUUCGAUCCUAUUUUGUUGGUUUCUAGGAUUGACGUAAUGAUUAAUAGGGAUAGUUGGGGGCAUUAGUAUUCAAUUGUCAGAGGUGAAAUUCUUGGAUUUAUUGAAGACUAACUACUGCGAAAGCAUUUGCCAAGGAUGUUUUCAUUAAUCAAGAACGAAAGUUAGGGGAUCGAAGACGAUCAGAUACCGUCGUAGUCUUAACCAUAAACUAUGCCGACUAGGGAUCGGAUGAUGUUAUUUUUAUAAUGACUCAUUCGGCGCCUUACGGGAAAC
RNAcentral lists this ribosomal RNA (549 nucleotides) under uncultured Glomus. RNAcentral describes it as "SSU rRNA". It matches the Rfam family "Eukaryotic small subunit ribosomal RNA", at positions 548 to 1098 of the family's 1831-position model. The record is from RNAcentral. Lineage: Eukaryota; Fungi; Glomeromycota; Glomeromycetes; Glomerales; Glomeraceae.